Molecule: ribosomal RNA, 493 nt
Filed under: uncultured bacterium
Lineage: Bacteria
Description: bacterial SSU rRNA
Rfam family: Bacterial small subunit ribosomal RNA
Source: RNAcentral
GAUGAACGCUAGCGACAGGCCUAACACAUGCAAGUCGAGGGGCAGCGAGGAUGUAGCAAUACAUUUGUCGGCGACCGGCGCACGGGUGAGUAACGCGUAUGCAACCUACCCGACACAGGGGGAUAACCCGGAGAAAUCCGGACUAAUACCGCAUAAAACAGGGGUCCCGCAUGGGAAUAUUUGUUAAAGAGUUAUCGGUGUCGGAUGGGCAUGCGUUCCAUUAGCUAGUUGGUGAGGUAGCGGCUCACCAAGGCAACGAUGGAUAGGGGUUCUGAGAGGAAGGUCCCCCACACUGGUACUGAGACACGGACCAGACUCCUACGGGAGGCAGCAGUGAGGAAUAUUGGUCAAUGGUCUGACGACUGAACCAGCCAUGCCGCGUGAAGGAUACGGGCCCUAUGGGUCUUAAACUUCUUUUGUAAGGGNGCAAUAAGCGCCACGUGUGGCUGAUGAGAGUACCUUAGAAUAAGCAUCGGCUAACUCCGUGCCAGCA